This 519-nucleotide ribosomal RNA is filed under the name uncultured human intestinal bacterium. RNAcentral describes it as "bacterial SSU rRNA". It matches the Rfam family "Bacterial small subunit ribosomal RNA", at positions 8 to 521 of the family's 1533-position model. The record is from RNAcentral.
AGAGUUUGAUCCUGGCUCAGGAUGAACGCUAGCUACAGGCUUAACACAUGCAAGUCGAGGGGCAUCAGGGUGUAGCAAUACACCGCUGGCGACUGGCGCACGGGUGAGUAACACGUAUCCAACCUGCCCUUUACUCGGGGAUAGCCUUUCGAAAGAAAGAUUAAUACCCGAUGGCAUAACAUGACCUCCUGGUUUUGUUAUUAAAGAAUUUCGGUAGAGGAUGGGGAUGCGUUCCAUUAGGCAGUUGGCGGGGUAACGGCCCACCAAACCUUCGAUGGAUAGGGGUUCUGAGAGGAAGGUCCCCCACAUUGGAACUGAGACACGGUCCAAACUCCUACGGGAGGCAGCAGUGAGGAAUAUUGGUCAAUGGGCGAGAGCCUGAACCAGCCAAGUAGCGUGAAGGAUGACCGCCCUAUGGGUUGUAAACUUCUUUUAUAUGGGAAUAAAGGGUGCCACGUGUGGCAUUUUGUAUGUACCAUAUGAAUAAGGAUCGGCUAACUCCGUGCCAGCAGCCGCGGU